Molecule: long non-coding RNA, 535 nt
Filed under: Androctonus crassicauda
Lineage: Eukaryota; Metazoa; Arthropoda; Arachnida; Scorpiones; Buthidae
Source: RNAcentral
GGGGAAUCCCAAGUCCACUGGCCUUUAGAAGAGGGAGAUGGGAGGUGAAACAGAAGGAAGAGGGCCUCCGGGAAGAAAAUUAGGGACUGUCUAUGAUAUCCAGGGAUUUUGCAAAGACAGUGAGGAUUGUCUGUGAUUACUGAUAGAGCCCCAAGCAGUUGGCUUCUCUAACAGUCUUCUGUGUCCCUUAGUGAAGGCAGAUGUGCAGUGAAGAGGUUAAACACCAAUCCCUGGCUGCUACUGCGGUCUUGAAAUGAUUGGAUUUGUCAAAAGAAUGGAACUUUCCUUGUUGGGAAGUGGGCACAAAGACGCAAACCCGGGGCUUACCCCACCGGACGAUGCAUGGAAUGUGAACACAGGUUAAUUAUUUCAAAAAUGUGUAUCAGAUGUUAUUUAAAUGAUAAUAUAUGCAAUGAUUUUUUCCCAUAAUUUAUCGAAGCCUGUGAGAUGCACUGAAUUUCCUUUGUCACGUAGUUUUGAUUUUGCAGCCUUCUGCAUUGCACACGUGAGCCAGGCAUUAGGGCAAGCUUGAGAG